Molecule: ribosomal RNA, 366 nt
Filed under: Apodileptus visscheri
Lineage: Eukaryota; Ciliophora; Litostomatea; Haptorida; Dileptidae
Description: partial small subunit ribosomal RNA
Rfam family: Eukaryotic small subunit ribosomal RNA
Source: RNAcentral
GCUUGUCUCAAAGAUUAAGCCAUGCAUGUCUCAGUAUAAGUUCCUGUACGGCGAAACUGCGAAUGGCUCAUUAAAACAGUUACAGUUUAUUUGAUGGUCGUUCCUUACAUGGAUAACUGUAGAAAAACUAGAGCUAAUACAUGCCAUAACCGUAAGGUUGUAUUUAUUAGAUAUUCCUGGUAGGUGAUUCAUAAUAACUUAGCGAAUCGUGACUCGUUCACGAUAAAUCAUUCAAGUUUCUGCCCUAUCAUGCUUUCGAUGGUAGUGUAUUGGACUACCAUGGCUCUCACGGGUAACGGAGAAUUAGGGUUCGAUUCCGGAGAAGGAGCCUGAGAAACGGCUACUACAUCUAAGGAAGGCAGCAGG